CAGAAACAUCAAGGAGAGUACUAGUGGGUUUUUUGACAAAUGGGAUAUAACUAGCUUAGUGACCUUGUCCCACCUCAUUUAUUUUAUGUUCUCUAUUAUUAGAACAAUUGUCCUUCGUAAGUGGUUUUCCCUACCUGUUUUCCAAAAACUAUCAGUGGAUCAUAUUUGCUAUGACAUUAAAUGUAACUGUGACUUGGCUUUUAAAGCCUUUCAAAAUCCAGCUCCACCAUGCCUUUCUGAAUUCACUCCCUAAAGCUCCAUAAUCCUGAGUAAAUUCUCAUUUCAAUUGGAAUCAUUUCCAUAAAUAUUCAUUGAGCACCUAGUUAAUCCCAGACACUGUGCUAUGUACUAGGAAUAAAUAAGAUAAAGUCCCUGCCCUAUAGGAGUUCAGGACAUAUCAGGAGAAUUAACACGAAUGUAGCUAUAAUAUAAUCAUAAUAAUAACAAUCAUUAACUUUAUUGAGCCCAUUCGUAUAGUCCAGGCACCGUUCUAAGCAUUUCAUAUCAAUGUCUUUAAUCCUCACAACAAACCUAUGAGGUGGUAUCAUCAGUAUCCUCAUUUUAUAGCUGAACCUCAGAGAGGUUGUUUUCCAAGAUCACACAGUUAAUAAAUGAGUAACUGAAUCCAGACAAUCUGGCUACAGAACCUACUUCCUUAACUACUAUUAUUAUAUAGAUAUUGUGAAGAGAGCUGUACUGGAAAUGGAACAAAGGCUACAGGAACAGAAAGGAUGCAAUUCAUUCAGCUUGGGGAUAUGGGAAAUGGUGUCACAGAGACAAUCUUGCUCUAUUCCUUAUUUAUGUAUACCCCUACCUCCUGGAAAGGAAUCAGGACAGCUCACACUGGGAAAGAUUCAGAGCAUACAUACAAAAGCCUUGAGACUGGAAAGAUUAUUUGGAAGUUGGGCAGAAGAGCAGGUCACAAAUAGACUAAGAAAGAGAAGCCAUGUUAACAGGAGGAAUACCAGAUAAGACAGAGGGCUUCCAGAUUUAUUGGUGUGAUAAAUGUAAAAACACUGUCACAGAGUCUGGGGAAGAAAGUCUUUCAAGAAGAAAGGAAUGGUCAAUCACGCAAAAAUACUGCUGAGAGGGGCGAAGCAAGGAGAAGAAAGAAAAAAUAUAUGAAUGCUGCCACACACAUCCAUGGUUUGUCAAUGCCCAGCCAUCCUUGGUGUGCAUUCUUAGUGAGUUUCUACUCCAAUUCUUCCUGAGUGAUUACAUUUUCAUCACAUUUCUGAAGGUUUUGCCACUUCUGCCAUCACAAUUUGAAGCUCACACGAUGCUGGGACAGGGACAUCACUGAAUUUUUCUGCAGCAAAUUGAAGACCAAAUGGGAAUUUCUGCCUCAAUCAGCAUCCAUUGGGAAUCAACUUGAUGUGAGGCGUUAUGCUA
Molecule: long non-coding RNA, 1392 nt
Filed under: Homo sapiens (human)
Lineage: Eukaryota; Metazoa; Chordata; Mammalia; Primates; Hominidae
Description: HSALNT0345514
Source: RNAcentral